RNAcentral lists this ribosomal RNA (789 nucleotides) under uncultured Actinomycetes bacterium. RNAcentral's name for it is "bacterial SSU rRNA". It matches the Rfam family "Bacterial small subunit ribosomal RNA", at positions 57 to 824 of the family's 1533-position model. Lineage: Bacteria; Bacillati; Actinomycetota; Actinomycetes. The record is from RNAcentral.
GCAAGUCGAACGCGAAAGUCCCCUUCGGGGGGCGAGUAGAGUGGCGCACGGGUGAGUAACACGUAGGUAAUCUACCUUUGGAUGGGGAAUAACAACCGGAAACGGUUGCUAAUACCGCAUAAUGCAGCGGCACCUAAUGGUGACAGUUGUUAAAGCGGGGGAUCGCAAGACCUCGCGUCUGAAGAGGAGCCUGCGGCAGAUUAGCUAGUUGGUAGGGUAACGGCUUACCAAGGCGAUGAUCUGUAGCCGGCCUGAGAGGGCGGUCGGCCACACUGACACUGACAUACGGGUCAGACUCCUACGGGAGGCAGCAGUCGGGAAUUUUGGGCAAUGGGCGAAAGCCUGACCCAGCAACGCCGCGUGAAGGAUGAAAUCCCUCGGGAUGUAAACUUCGCAAGAACGGGAAGAAUAAGUAAGAGUUAAUAUCUCUUAUGAUGACGGUACUGUUUGUAAGCUCCGGCUAACUCCGUGCCAGCAGCCGCGGUAAUACGGGGGGAGCAAGCGUUGUUCGGAUUUACUGGGCGUAAAGGGCGCGUAGGCGGCCACCGCAAGUCGACUGUGAAAUCUCCGGGCUUAACUCGGAAAGGUCAGCCGAUACUGCGGGGCUAGAGUGCAGAAGGGGCAACUGGAAUUCUCGGUGUAGCGGUGAAAUGCGUAGAUAUCGAGAGGAACACCUGCGGCGAAGGCGGGUUGCUGGGCUGACACUGACGCUGAGGCGCGAAAGCUAGGGGAGCGAACGGGAUUAGAUACCCCGGUAGUCCUAGCCUUAAACGAUGAAUGCUUGGUGUC